Molecule: long non-coding RNA, 416 nt
Filed under: Ictidomys tridecemlineatus (thirteen-lined ground squirrel)
Lineage: Eukaryota; Metazoa; Chordata; Mammalia; Rodentia; Sciuridae
Description: lncRNA (ENSSTOG00000032443.1)
Source: RNAcentral
GAGCUGGGUCCCCCAGCCGCGGGGUGCUGAGGCCGCCGCGGGGUGCCGGAGGCCUCCGCCGCGAGUCCUCGGGUACCCGGUCUGCAGUCUUCUCCUUCCUGCCGCUCCCUACCCCCAAGGGACUUCUUUGAGGCAAACUCCGCAGCACGUUCUCAGGGUCCUCUUCCCUUAAAUGCAUUACAAGAAUCUUCAGGUUUCUAUUUAUUCAUUCAAUACCGGGAAUGGAACACCCAGUGCCCUUGUACAUGGCAGGCAAGUGCCACCACUGAACUACUCCCCAGCCCUGUUUGUUUUAAUUGGAGCCCAGAACCAGACAAUUCCUCUCAACAGGGUCAAACCAGCUUAUUUUCUGCAUUCUCCAUUUUCACAGAGGUAUGUAUUCUCAAUACUGUAUUUGCUGCACGGCCAUGUUCCCU